AUUGAACGCUGGCGGCAUGCCUUACACAUGCAAGUCGAACGGCAGCGCGGACUUCGGUCUGGCGGCGAGUGGCGAACGGGUGAGUAAUGCAUCGGAACGUACCUUUCAGUGGGGGAUAACGUAGCGAAAGUUACGCUAAUACCGCAUAUUCUGUGAGCAGGAAAGCAGGGGAUCGCAAGACCUUGCGCUGAUUGAGCGGCCGAUGUCAGAUUAGCUAGUUGGUGAGGUAAAGGCUCACCAAGACGACGAUCUGUAGCGGGUCUGAGAGGAUGAUCCGCCACACUGGGACUGAGACACGGCCCAGACUCCUACGGGAGGCAGCAGUGGGGAAUUUUGGACAAUGGGGGCAACCCUGAUCCAGCCAUGCCGCGUGAGUGAAGAAGGCCUUCGGGUUGUAAAGCUCUUUCGGCCGGGAAGAAAUCGCAUGGGUUAAUACCCUGUGUGGAUGACGGUACCGGAAUAAGAAGCACCGGCUAACUACGUGCCAGCCGCCGCUGUAA
RNAcentral lists this ribosomal RNA (500 nucleotides) under uncultured bacterium. RNAcentral's name for it is "partial 16S ribosomal RNA". It matches the Rfam family "Bacterial small subunit ribosomal RNA", at positions 30 to 523 of the family's 1533-position model. The record is from RNAcentral.